Molecule: long non-coding RNA, 1016 nt
Filed under: Salmo salar (Atlantic salmon)
Lineage: Eukaryota; Metazoa; Chordata; Actinopteri; Salmoniformes; Salmonidae
Description: lncRNA (ENSSSAG00000095340.1)
Source: RNAcentral
CUGAGCAUGAUCACAACAAAAGUAGCUGUGCAGCACGUUUUUUAAUGAAGAGGAGGAUGGUUGUAGACGUUCACAUUCCUGCAAGAAGAUGUCAGACACCGAGGCUGCCAGUACCUCUGGGUCGAUAGUCCAUGUGUUGGAUGAUGCACUGCCGUUGAUCAGAACAGACAGCGUAUACGAGAGAUGUCAGCGAUUCGGGCUAAACAGCCAAUGACCAAGGGAAAGCUGGGACAAAUGAGAGGCUCACACGGCAGAGCAGGCAACAGAUGGCACACAGACAGCAGAGUUGGGGACAGCUAUGCAGGGACAGACUGGCAGAGACAGGGAGUCUCAGGUAAGUUUGUUGAGUCUUUGUUUGGCAACAUUAUGAAAGGUUCUCAAUUUUUUUCACUUGUAAAAUAGGAACAUAAUUGGAAAAUGCCAUGGAUACCCCCACUCUCAACUUAAACUGGUGACUGAACUAAGAUUUGUUAAAGGCAAUGGUAUUGCUGUUGUGAUUAGUUGUGUAGUUUUGGGUACCGGUAGUUAGGAGUACGGCAAACACCUUAUUUCUUUGGUUCCUCAAUAUACAUUUACCAUAUUACAAUGUAGGCUAUGUGUUACAGCACUACUUUUGGUGUCCCCCUCAGGAAUUGCUCUUUAGAAAAUUUCAUGUAAUUGUCCCCUCCAAAGUUGAUAUCAGAUUUUCGCCCCUGGUGACAGCCCACUCCCGUUUUACACCUUGGGCAAAAUGUUGAAUAUUUAGAAUUGAUCUUGUACAGUCUCUCUGGUGUAAAGUAGACCCUAUGUAAAAUAUUGAAUUGCAUCAACUUGUGCCUUGUGUUAAAUGAAAGACGCUGAGCAUCUAAAAAGAGCUUUCCCCAUUUCUUAUCCUCAAAAAUGAGACCAAGGUCAUCAUGCCACUUCAUGCAAGCUUUCAGUGGUUCAUCAUUCCCCAACAGAGCUUGAAGCCAAGAGUACAUGUAGGAAAUGAAACCUUUUACCCCUUUCCUUUCCAGCCACAGUUUAUCAGUUUU